Molecule: unclassified non-coding RNA, 602 nt
Filed under: uncultured Bradyrhizobium sp.
Lineage: Bacteria; Pseudomonadati; Pseudomonadota; Alphaproteobacteria; Hyphomicrobiales; Nitrobacteraceae
Description: partial 16S-23S ribosomal RNA intergenic spacer
Rfam family: Bacterial large subunit ribosomal RNA (bases 467-602)
Source: RNAcentral
AGAUUUUCUCUUCUGGUUAGGGGGCCGAGGCCAUAAAGCGGGAUGUGUCAGGAUGAUCAACGCCGUGACCCGUUUGGGGUUGUUCGUUCCCAGAAACCAAAACCCCCAUGGAGGGCUCGCGCGCCGGCUGGCACCCGCUGAGGCUGAUAUUCUGGCCCACUUAGUUUGCUUGUCGCUAACAUAGAGCGACGGAGAUCGAUCCGAGUUGGGUCGUGCAGCAUAUCGUUGCGCGAGCCUUCAUUAUCUCCGGAUCAUUUAGGCGCUCGCUUCCAGCCGUGAGGUGGGAUGCGGGUUGUAAAUGAUCCUUUUAGCGAAGCUUGACCGCCUCGCUAUCGGAACGAUCUUACAAAAACCCUUGGUCUUUCUAGUCAAUGUCCGGCUGCGGAUGCGUUCAUCGAGGGCGCGUGCCGCAAGGCAAUUCUGCAGACAACAUUCUGCCGAGUGUGUGGACAUUGAUAAUGAGAGCAAUCAAGUGCCUUAAGGGUGUUCGGUGGAUGCCUUGGCGCUGAGAGGCGAUGAAGGACGUGCUACGCUGCGAUAAGCCGUGGGGAGCUGCGAAGAAGCUUUGAUCCGCCCGAUUUUCCCAAUGGGGAAAACCCGGA